RNAcentral lists this unclassified non-coding RNA (290 nucleotides) under uncultured Psathyrellaceae. RNAcentral describes it as "sequence contains ITS2". The stretch from base 1 to 52 matches the Rfam family "5.8S ribosomal RNA", at positions 103 to 154 of the family's 154-position model. Lineage: Eukaryota; Fungi; Basidiomycota; Agaricomycetes; Agaricales; Psathyrellaceae. The record is from RNAcentral.
AACGCACCUUGCGCUCCUUGGUAUUCCGAGGAGCAUGCCUGUUUGAGUGUCAUUAAAUUCUCAACCUCACCAACUUUGUUGUGUGAAGGCUUGGAUGUGGGGGUUGCAGGUCCGCACUCGUGUGGUCUGCUCCUCUAAAACGUAUUAGUGGGUUAGUCCCCUAAUCUAUUGGUGUGAUAAUUAUCUACGCCGUGGAUUUGGAAGGCUAUCAUAGACCUGCUUCUAACUGUCCUCUGGACAACCUUGACAAUUUUGACCUCAAAUCAGGUAAGACUACCCGCUGAACUUAA